RNAcentral lists this long non-coding RNA (988 nucleotides) under Anser cygnoides (Swan goose). RNAcentral's name for it is "lncRNA (ENSACDG00005002052.1)". Lineage: Eukaryota; Metazoa; Chordata; Aves; Anseriformes; Anatidae. The record is from RNAcentral.
AUGAUACCAGUUAAUCAUUCCUGAUAUGGUGAGCAGUGAAAAACAGCAGCACCUGUGAAGAAGCAAAAGGCAAUCUGCUUCAGGAGCUCCCAGAAACACUUGUGAGUCAUGGGCUUGAAAUUUGGCCCCUUCCACUUAGCACCAAGAGGAAUGUCUUCUCUGCCAGAUACAGAUUAUCAUUUCUUGCUGGCUUUGAACGUAUUGGUACAUGAGACAGAGACCAGUCUCCACUGACUCCAUGAUCAUUUACUGAAUUAAUUACCCUAUGACUGUAGCGAUUCAAAUCCAGUUCCCACCUGCUCUCUCCCUCCCAUACUAACCUGCCUAUAUCUCCAGGCUGUAUCUGUUAUCCUAUCAGCAUUCGACAACGUAGGAUACCUUGUGCUUGAAGGUUCGGAGGAAACUGUCAUUCAUGAGACACUUCUGUACCUGCAAACACGUUCUUCCUGGAGACUGUGUGUUCUCUCUGAAGAGAGAGCUGAUAAAUCUCCUUUAUUUCCCAGAAAGAAGACCUUUUAUAAAAUUCUCUGGCUUAACUGUAAGCUUCUAACUGCACUAGGAGUAACCCACUCUGUAAAGAAUGGAAGGAGAAACAUGGAAAGAGAAAGAGAUUCAACAAGAUUUUACCCCUGUAUUUUGUGCCCUUAAAUGAGGCUUUUUAUUCUUUGUAGUACUAGCAAGUGUAAUUAUUUCAUUUCUGCCUUAAUGGACCAGAAAAAAAAAUCAGCUUAUAAUAAGUAAUUAAAAAAAAAAAAGGCUACUGUUGUUACGUGUGUGCUUAUGCAUGUAUGUAUGCAUAGUACUGCACUGUUUAUUUGCAGGGCUUUCUUUUUUAAGUUGGAGCAUUGAUACAGAAGGUUCAUGGCCCGUCCAGUAUACAAGUGAUAAACAGUAGGUCUGCUGCUACAAGUACUUGUAUUUUAGUCACUUCAAUAUUCGGCCUUAAAGUGUUAAACUAGUAAUAAAUGGAAUUUGAUGUGAUAACUCA